GAUGAACGCUGGCGGCGUGCUUAACACAUGCAAGUCGAACGAAGCAUUACUUUUGAAAGAACUUAGCUUGCUAAGAGCGGACAUGUGUAAUGACUGAGUGGCGGACGGGUGAGUAACGCGUGAGCAACCUGCCUUAUACAGGGGGAUAACAGUUGGAAACGACUGCUAAUACCGCAUAAGCACACAGUACUGCAUGGUACGGUGUGAAAAACUCCGGUGGUAUAAGAUGGACUCGCGUCUGAUUAGCUAGUUGGUGAGGUAAAGGCCCACCAAGGCAACGAUCAGUAGCCGGCCUGAGAGGGUGACCGGCCACAUUGGGACUGAGACACGGCCCAGACUCCUACGGGAGGCAGCAGUGAGGAAUAUUGGUCAAUGGGCGAGAGCCUGAACCAGCCAAGUAGCGUGAGGGAUGACUGCCCUAUGGGUUGUAAACCUCUUUUAUAUGGGAAUAACAGGCACUACGUGUAGUGUUUUGCAUGUACCAUUAUGAAUAAGCAUCGGCUAACUCCGUGCCAGCAGCCGCCGUAAGAC
Molecule: ribosomal RNA, 531 nt
Filed under: uncultured bacterium
Lineage: Bacteria
Description: bacterial SSU rRNA
Rfam family: Bacterial small subunit ribosomal RNA
Source: RNAcentral